AUUGAACGCUGGCGGCAGGCCUAACACAUGCAAGUCGAACGGUAACAGGAAGAAGCUUGCUUCUUUGCUGACGAGUGGCGGACGGGUGAGUAAUGUCUGGGAAACUGCCUGAUGGAGGGGGAUAACUACUGGAAACGGUAGCUAAUACCGCAUAACGUCGCAAGACCAAAGAGGGGGACCUUCGGGCCUCUUGCCAUCUGAUGUGCCCAGAUGGUAUUAGCUAGUAGGUGGGGUAACGGCUCACCUAGGCGACGAUCCCUAGCUGGUCUGAGAGGAUGACCAGCCACACUGGAACUGAGACACGGUCCAGACUCCUACGGGAGGCAGCAGUGGGGAAUAUUGCACAAUGGGCGCAAGCCUGAUGCAGCCAUGCCGCGUGUAUGAAGAAGGCCUUCGGGUUGUAAAGUACUUUCAGCGGGGAGGAAGGGAGUAAAGUUAAUACCUUUGCUCAUUGACGUUACCCGCAGAAGAAGCACCGGCUAACUCCGU
RNAcentral lists this ribosomal RNA (489 nucleotides) under uncultured bacterium. RNAcentral describes it as "partial 16S ribosomal RNA". It matches the Rfam family "Bacterial small subunit ribosomal RNA", at positions 30 to 506 of the family's 1533-position model. The record is from RNAcentral.